Acanthosepion pharaonis is the source of this 116-nucleotide non-coding RNA. The record is from the annotation of a GenBank genome assembly. NCBI's taxonomy places the organism in Eukaryota, Metazoa, Mollusca, Cephalopoda, Sepiida, Sepiidae.
UUUGCGACCACAUCACGUUGAAGCAUCGGUUCGCGUACGAUCACCGAAGUUAAGCAAAGAUCGAGCCUGGCCAGUACCUAGAUGAGUGACCGCUUGAGAAUACCAGGUGCAGUAAG